UUUAAAUUGAGAGUUUGAUCCUGGCUCAGGAUGAACGCUGGCGGCGUGCCUAAUACAUGCAAGUCGUACGCUAGCCGCUGAAUUGAUCCUUCGGGUGAAGUGAGGCAAUGACUAGAGUGGCGAACUGGUGAGUAACACGUAAGAAACCUGCCCUUUAGUGGGGGAUAACAUUUGGAAACAGAUGCUAAUACCGCGUAACAACAAAUCACACAUGUGAUCUGUUUGAAAGGUCCUUUUGGAUCGCUAGAGGAUGGUCUUGCGGCGUAUUAGCUUGUUGGUAGGGUAGAAGCCUACCAAGGCAAUGAUGCGUAGCCGAGUUGAGAGACUGGCCGGCCACAUUGGGACUGAGACACUGCCCAAACUCCUACGGGAGGCUGCAGUAGGGAAUUUUCCGCAAUGCACGAAAGUGUGACGGAGCGACGCCGCGUGUGUGAUGAAGGCUUUCGGGUCGUAAAGCACUGUUGUAAGGGAAGAAUAACUGAAUUCAGAGAAAGUUUUCAGCUUGACGGUACCUUACCAGAAAGGGAUGGCUAAAUACGUGCCAGCAGCCGCGGUAAUACGUAUGUCCCGAGCGUUAUCCGGAUUUAUUGGGCGUAAAGCGAGCGCAGACGGUUUAUUAAGUCUGAUGUGAAAUCCCGAGGCCCAACCUCGGAACUGCAUUGGAAACUGAUUUACUUGAGUGCGAUAGAGGCAAGUGGAACUCCAUGUGUAGCGGUGAAAUGCGUAGAUAUGUGGAAGAACACCAGUGGCGAAAGCGGCUUGCUAGAUCGUAACUGACG
Molecule: ribosomal RNA, 779 nt
Filed under: Oenococcus oeni
Lineage: Bacteria; Bacillati; Bacillota; Bacilli; Lactobacillales; Lactobacillaceae
Description: bacterial SSU rRNA
Rfam family: Bacterial small subunit ribosomal RNA
Source: RNAcentral